UACAGAGGGGGCAAGCGUUAUUCGGAAUUAUUGGGCGUAAAGGGCGCGUAGGCGGCCUGGCAAGUGACGGGUGAAAGCCCUCGGCUCAACCGAGGAACUGCCUGUCAUACUGCCGGGCUUGAGUCCGGGAGAGGUGAGUGGAAUUCCCAGUGUAGCGGUGAAAUGCGUAGAUAUCUGGAGGAACACCGGUGGCGAAGGCGGCAUUCUGGACCGAUAUUGACACUGAGGCACGAAGGCCAGGGGAGCAAACGGG
Molecule: ribosomal RNA, 253 nt
Filed under: uncultured bacterium
Lineage: Bacteria
Description: partial 16S ribosomal RNA
Rfam family: Bacterial small subunit ribosomal RNA
Source: RNAcentral